UCUGGGUCCAUAAGGACAAACAGACAGUUUGACCCGAGUAUAAAUAUUACUACAGAAAUCCCAUUAGCCUCAGACAGAGUUGAACACAUUACCAGAAGAUUUAAUCUCUUUACUUACCAAGAACACACAAAGACUUCAGAUGGCAUCUCUUUUGAUGUACCUGAAGCAGCCGAGUUGCAUCUACAUAUGUGCAUGCCUGUGGGUGGCAUAUCUUGCUGUGGGAAAUGCAGAGGGAAUGUUACAACUCAAAGCUGAUGAGAUUAGGACUGUAUCUGAAGAAAGUGUAAGGGCACCCAGAGGAAUUGUGAAUACUCAAGAUGCUGACAUGGCUGGACAUG
This is a long non-coding RNA of Cyprinus carpio (common carp), 338 nucleotides long. RefSeq lists it as uncharacterized. Lineage: Eukaryota; Metazoa; Chordata; Actinopteri; Cypriniformes; Cyprinidae. The record is from RefSeq and is a predicted model, not a curated record. The transcript is spliced from 4 exons.